GAAUUGCCCUUAGUAGCGGCGAGUGAAGCGGCAAAAGCUCAAAUUUGAAAUCUGGCUCUUUCAGAGUCCGAGUUGUAAUUUGAAGAAGGUAUCUUUGGGUCUGGCUCUUGUCUAUGUUUCUUGGAACAGAACGUCACAGAGGGUGAGAAUCCCGUGCGAUGAGAUGAUCCAGGCCUAUGUAAAGUUCCUUCGAAGAGUCGAGUUGUUUGGGAAUGCAGCUCUAAGUGGGUGGUAAAUUCCAUCUAAAGCUAAAUAUUGGCGAGAGACCGAUAGCGAACAAGUACAGUGAUGGAAAGAUGAAAAGAACUUUGAAAAGAGAGUGAAAAAGUACGUGAAAUUGUUGAAAGGGAAGGGCUUGAGAUCAGACUUGGUAUUUUGUAUGUUACUUCUUCGGGGGUGGCCUCUACAGUUUAUCGGGCCAGCAUCAGUUUGGGCGGUAGGAGAAUUGCGUUGGAAUGUGGCACGGCUUCGGUUGUGUGUUAUAGCCUUCGUCGAUACUGCCAGCCUAGACUGAGGACUGCGGUUUAUACCUAGGAUGUUGGCAUAAUGAUCUUAAGUCGCCCGUCUUAAAAA
This 573-nucleotide ribosomal RNA is filed under the name Candida tropicalis. RNAcentral's name for it is "partial large subunit ribosomal RNA". It matches the Rfam family "Eukaryotic large subunit ribosomal RNA", at positions 72 to 660 of the family's 3401-position model. Lineage: Eukaryota; Fungi; Ascomycota; Pichiomycetes; Serinales; Debaryomycetaceae. The record is from RNAcentral.